AAUAAAAUUUGCUGCCUGGUAAAAUGUUUACUGAACAAAUGAAUGAUUUGAAACAAGAUUAAAACUAGUCUCUAAUUUGAAUUUAAAGUGUGUUACAACCUAAUACAGAAGUGGAAUGGGAAAUAGCAGCUCACAUUUAUGGAUUUAAUCAUUAAUUAUUAUAUAUUUCCUGCAUUUUUGUUUGCUGGCACCACAGAACAGGUGGGUAGAAGUAUAUUCUAAUAGGUCUGUUUCUUGUGCUGAAAAUAGAAAUGAAUUUAAAAUUUUUCUACUUACUGUGACCAUUAUGUGGAUAUCCACGUUGUCAGUGAUGCCAGGGCCAUCUUCAUGGAGCCUGUUCAGUUCAGGGACCAUCUCACCUCUUGCUUUUGAGCAUAUUUUGAAAUAUGUUGUUUAUCAGACAUGACUAAGUAGUAAUUUAUAUUUUAGAAAUCAAGUAUAGACAUUAUAAUGCCCAUUUAAUGUAAGUCACACUCAUUAAUCAACAUAAACGAAUUAGGAUUGCCUGUCUAUCUUGGUAUCAUUCCUGUUAAAACCCUGUUUGGCUUUAACACUAACUAAUGUUCAUGUUCAAUGUUCAUAUAUUGACAGUUACCGGAAUGGGUUAUUCUGAUUUCCAAUUUAUAUAAAGUUAGUUUAAAGACCCUGGGUCUACUGCUUUGGGUGAAUAUUAUUUGAUAGUUUGUAUUGCUCUGAAGAUGAGAGUAUUCUUAAGGGGAAUGUUGGCUUUAAUCAGAAUGGGAACAUUGUAAUGUCUCUGUCAUCAGGUAAGCUCUGUUGUGCCGAAUGCUAGCCGUCAUCCGCCUUCACAGGGAAGCGCAGUAAGAACUCAUCUUUGAUGGUCCUUUGAUGGUCUUAGACCUUCUCAAGUGUUUGUGGAGAUAUUUUUAGACCAUUGGUUCUCAACCUUCAAAUGCUGCAACCCUUUAAUACAAUUACUCAUGUUCUAGUGACCCUAGCCAUAAAAUUAUUUUCAUUGCUAUUUCAUAACUGUAAUUUUGCUACUGUUAUGAGUUGUCAUAUAAAUGUCUGUGUUUUCUGAUGGUCCUAAGUGACCCCUGCUGUGGGCCUGUGUACUGGAGGCUUUCAGGGGUUCAGACGAAGGGGGGAGAAUGCGAGCAGGGAGGGGGAAUUGGAGGAAUUGCCUCCACUGCCUCUGCUGCUGCAGCUGCCUCCACCUCCGCUGCUGCCAUCGCUUCUGUUGCUCCAGGAUGCUACACUGGUAGAUCUGCGCUGAGUCUGGCCGGGCUGAGCCAGCCAGAGGCUGACUAGCCAGCGAGGGGUACGGGGAAGCUUCUAGUGGAGCUUCUGGUGGCAUUUUUGGGAGAGCAGGUCUCUUCCCUGGCAGUGGUGUUGCAGCUCUUAUGACAAAGGCUCUCAGACAACGGAGUAGGUCUCACACACCUUUAUUUCUUCUAGAGAGGAUCCUUAUAUACAGUUUUGGGGUGGGUCAGGGUCUAACAAAAGGUGCUUCCUAUUGGCUUGGUCUGAGAACUUGAGGAUAUCUUAUCUACAUGUGGGAGAGCUUAGAGUGCUGCCCUUAUGUGUCUGACAGCCACAAACCUGGUGGUUGUGGGGGGCUGUGGCUACGGGUUUACAGGGUCCUGGUUCUGGGAGCAGGCAAAGCUCCUACCAACCUUCCAGGGUCCCGCGGGCUUCAAACCUUAGCUCAACCUUACCAGGCUUCCUCUCACAGCCCAUCACCCCACACCCUGUAAAAGUUGUUUAACCUCCAAAGGGGUCACGACCCACAUGUUGAUGCUUUAGAUAGGUAUUUGGAAAGGAGACAGAACCAGAGAGACAACAUUAUAUGCAACCAAUAAUGUGUUCUCUUAUGUUUCUCAAAUAAAAGGAAUAGUCUUUCCCAGUAAAAUGUCCAAAGUGACCUUUAAAAGAUGGAUAGUCCAGCUAUGACAAUGUGCCAUUAUCAGAAGCUUCCGUGUAUUGUUUGGACAUACAAAUGUUUAUCAGGCAAAAUAUUUGCAUUUAAUUGUGAAAAAGUGAGAUCAUUUUUGCCAGUUGAUUUGAGUUUUGACCUCUGAGGAGCAAGUUGCAAUUUUCAGGUCCUUCUAAAUAGAAAUAAGUUUCAGAGAAACUGCUAAAAAUGUAUGUUGUAGUUAGUUUCUGUUAAAAUGUAUGUUGGUAAUAUAUGAUUUUUAAAAUUAUGAAAGCAUUUAAAAGAAUAACUCAGCAGAAUCAAUAUCUUCUAGACUCUCCUUUUCUGUUCCUUUUGUCCAUCUCACACUUAAUGUUCUCAUAUGUAUUCACAGUUAUCACCUCCAUUAUGGUCUCUGAAUUCUAUUCUUAUGCUGAUCUAAGCUGCUUCUUCCCUAUUGCCACUAACGUAAUCUUUCUUAAAACUCAAAUUCUCAGCACUUUUCCUUCUCUAAUGACUUUCUUGGUUUCCCACUGAACUGAAGGUGAACUCAGUCUCAUCCACCUUGUGUGGUCUUGCCCUUACCAUUCCCUCUCCAUUGCAUUACACUCACCAUUGCUGUGUUGUUUCUUUUGCUCUGAACAUCUAUGUAGUGUUUCACAGCUCAGGUUUUGUACCUACUAUUCUUCCUGUCCAGAAUGUCCUCCUUUCUUAAAUUACAGCAUGUGUGCCAUGUUUCAGUUCUCCAGGAAGGCCUCCUGCCUGGCUCAACAUCCUGGCUAUUUCUUGUUGAAUUUAUCGCAUUCCAAGUUUGCUUUUAGGGUUUCACCUACAUUGUAAGGUAGUUGCUUAGGUGUGGUUUGCUUCAGAGAUAAGAUUGUAGUCAGGAGCCAACACCGUAUGUUUUUAGACAAAUGAAAUUACUGAAGGAGAGCAGGUGUGAGGAUCAAGGCUUAAGACAGUUGUUUCGGCUCCAUGUGAGUGAAUCCAUCAGUUAGUACAUUGAGCUUGCUUUAGUUUGGCUUUGCACUAUGUUCCUUUUGUGCAUUAGAAUUAGACCAUGUCUAAGAAUUUUUCCAUUGUGGAACUCAGCAUUCACAUGUUGUCCUCCUCCCUCUCAGAGGAGAAGGGGAAAGAGGAAUUGGGGGAGGAGAGGGGCUGUGAAUACUGGGACGUAUAUUGGGAUGUAAAGUGAAUGAAUGAAUAAAUGAAUAAAUAAAUAAACAAAUGGG
RNAcentral lists this long non-coding RNA (3108 nucleotides) under Mus musculus (house mouse). RNAcentral describes it as "long non-coding RNA chr7:48796301-48799409". The record is from RNAcentral. Lineage: Eukaryota; Metazoa; Chordata; Mammalia; Rodentia; Muridae.